AUUGAACGCUGGCGGCAGGCCUAACACAUGCAAGUCGAGCGAGCGGCGGACGGGUGAGUAAUGUCUGGGAAACUGCCUGAUGGAGGGGGAUAACUGCUGGAAACGGUAGCUAAUACCGCAUACAAUCAGAUGUGCCCAGAUGGGCUUAGCUGGUAGGUGGGGUAACGGCUCACCUAGGCGACGAUCCCUAGCUGGUCUGAGAGUAUGACCAGCCACACUGGAACUGAUACACGUUCCAGACGCCGACGGGAGGCAGCAGUGGGGAAUAUUGCACAAUGUGCGCAAGCCUGAUGCAGCCAUGCCGCGUGUGUGAAGAAGGCCUUCGGGUUGGAAAGCACUUUCAGCGGAGAGGCGUGACACUAAGAAGAAGCACCGGCUAACUCCGUGCCAGCAGCCGCGGUAAUAG
Molecule: ribosomal RNA, 406 nt
Filed under: uncultured bacterium
Lineage: Bacteria
Description: partial 16S ribosomal RNA
Rfam family: Bacterial small subunit ribosomal RNA
Source: RNAcentral